This 253-nucleotide ribosomal RNA is filed under the name uncultured bacterium. RNAcentral's name for it is "partial 16S ribosomal RNA". It matches the Rfam family "Bacterial small subunit ribosomal RNA", at positions 524 to 776 of the family's 1533-position model. The record is from RNAcentral.
UACGGGGGGGGCAAGCGUUGUUCGGAAUUACUGGGCGUAAAGGGCUCGUAGGUGGCCCGCUAAGUUGGACGUGAAAUCCCUCGGCUCAACCGGGGAACUGCGUCCAAGACUGGCAGGCUUGAAUCCGGGAGAGGGACGUGGAAUUCCAGGUGUAGCGGUGAAAUGCGUAGAUAUCUGGAGGAACACCGGUGGCGAAGGCGGCGUCCUGGACCGGUAUUGACACUGAGGAGCGAAAGCCAGGGGAGCAAACGGG